This 253-nucleotide ribosomal RNA is filed under the name uncultured bacterium. RNAcentral describes it as "partial 16S ribosomal RNA". It matches the Rfam family "Bacterial small subunit ribosomal RNA", at positions 524 to 776 of the family's 1533-position model. The record is from RNAcentral.
UACGUAGGGGGCUAGCGUUGUCCGGAAUCAUUGGGCGUAAAGAGCUCGUAGGCGGUCUGUUGCGUCCGCUGUGAAAACUCGGGGCUUAACCCCGAGCCUGCAGUGGAUACGGGCAGACUAGAGGUAGGUAGGGGAGAAUGGAAUUCCCGGUGUAGCGGUGAAAUGCGCAGAUAUCGGGAGGAACACCGGUGGCGAAGGCGGUUCUCCGGGCCUUACCUGACGCUGAGGAGCGAAAGCGUGGGGAGCGAACAGG